GUUUAUUCUCAAGUUAGUUCUGCUUAGGAUGAUCUCCUUUGUAACUGUGAAAGAAAAUUGCCAAGUGCCUGAAUAAUUCACAAAUACAGUGUAGGUCUUGCAUAAGCUGCAGAACAAUGGCCAGCAUGUUGCACUGUGAGGGCUCCAGAUCUGUGAAACAACUGUGAAUAAACAGGCUCUACCAGGGCUGCCUAGAUUAGAUGCCCACCAGAAUCCCUUCAGGUUACUUAUUACAUUUACCGAAGCCAGGUCUCCGACCUCCCAGACCUUCUGAGUCAGCAUCUUAGCGGGGCGGGGGGUGGUUCUGAGAGUCUAUGUUUUAUCAUCUGUCCCUACCAACCCCCACGUGGUGGUUCCGGUGCACAUUCAAGCAGGACAAGGUUUGCUUGAUCCCUGAAAGGUCUAGAAGCUCCCCAAGGACUUGUGAGCUUGCCAUGGGCGUGAGCCAUCAACAACCCUAAGUUUGUAAAUAAUAUUUGUAAAUAUUUAGUUUUAUGUUUUAAUUUUUUAUGACUUGUAGACUUUCCCAUGGGGAAAUGUUUAAUUUCUUUUUCUGCUUUGUAUUGCAGGGUCUUAUUCACUUCAUUAAUAUUUAAUCGAAGAAUCAUACUGAGCUAUUUCCAGACUCUGAGUGGAGGGAACAUGGUACUGCCUUCCCAGUGGAGUUCUGAUUAAUGCACCAUCUCUGUGGUCCCUGGGGAUCACCAACUUCCUCAUCCCCCAACUAUACAUAUUUAUUCUGUGGAGAGGGAGGCAGAAAGUUGGAGAAAGCCCUUUUUAGCUCAACACAUGAUCUUCAGAAAAGUCAACAGACCUUUCCUGAUGGUCACCUAGUGGCCUUGCUGUUUCUCCACGUGAAUGUGAUAUUGAAUAUUGUACAAAGCCACUUGAAAAAGAUAUAA
RNAcentral lists this long non-coding RNA (902 nucleotides) under Bos indicus x Bos taurus (hybrid cattle). Its description in RNAcentral is "lncRNA (ENSBIXG00005010488.1)". The record is from RNAcentral. Lineage: Eukaryota; Metazoa; Chordata; Mammalia; Artiodactyla; Bovidae.